UAACGCGUGGGUAACCUGCCCUGUACACACGGAUAACAUACCGAAAGGUAUGCUAAUACGGGAUAAAAUACUUUUAUCGCAUGGUAGAAGUAUCAAAGCUUUUGCGGUACAGGAUGGACCCGCGUCUGAUUAGCUAGUUGGUAAGGUAACGGCUUACCAAGGCGGCGAUCAGUAGCCGACCUGAGAGGGUGAUCGGCCACAUUGGAACUGAGACACGGUCCAAACUCCUACGGGAGGCAGCAGUGGGGAAUAUUGCACAAUGGGCGAAAGCCUGAUGCAGCAACGCCGCGUGAGCGAUGAAGGCCUUCGGGUCGUAAAGCUCUGUCCCCAAGGAAGAUAAUGACGGUACUUGAGGAGGAAGCCCCGGCUAACUACGUGCCAGCAGCCGCGGUAAUACGUAGGGGGCUAGCGUUAUCCGGAAUUACUGGGCGUAAAGGGUGCGUAGGUGGUUUCUUAAGUCAGAGGUGAAAGGCUACGGCUCAACCGUAGUAAGCCUUUGAAACUGGGGAACUUGAGUGCAGGAGAGGAGAGUGGAAUUCCUAGUGUAGCGGUGAAAUGCGUAGAUAUUAGGAGGAACACCAGUUGCGAAGGCGGCUCUCUGGACUGUAACUGACACUGAGGCACGAAAGCGUGGGGAGCAAACAGGAUUAGAUACCCUGGUAGU
Molecule: ribosomal RNA, 664 nt
Filed under: uncultured bacterium
Lineage: Bacteria
Description: bacterial SSU rRNA
Rfam family: Bacterial small subunit ribosomal RNA
Source: RNAcentral